GUUUGAUCCUGGCUCAGGAUGAACGCUGGCGGUAUGCUUAACACAUGCAAGUCGAACGGUCUCUUAGGAGAUAGUGGCGGACGGGUGAGUAACGCGUGAGAAUCUGGCUCUAGGUUCGGGACAACCACUGGAAACGGUGGCUAAUACCGGAUGUGCCGAGAGGUGAAAGGUUAACUGCCUGGAGAUGAGCUCGCGUCUGAUUAGCUAGUUGGUGGUGUAAGGGACUACCAAGGCGACGAUCAGUAGCUGGUCUGAGAGGAUGAUCAGCCACACUGGGACUGAGACACGGUCCAGACUCCUACGGGAGGCAGCAGUGGGGAAUUUUCCGCAAUGGGCGAAAGCCUGACGGAGCAAUACCGCGUGAGGGAGGAAGGCUCUUGGGUCGUAAACCUCUUUUCUCAAGGAAGAAGCACUGACGGUACUUGAGGAAUCAGCAUCGGCUAACUCCGUGCCAGCAGCCGCGGUAAUACGGAGGAUGCAAGCGUUAUCCGGAAUGAUUGGGCGUAAAGCGUCCGUAGGUGGUUUAGUGAGUCUGCUGUUAAAGCAUUUGGCUUAACCAGAUAAAAGCAUUGGAAACUACUAGACUAGAGUGCGAUAAGGGUAGAGGGAAUUAAUGGUGUAGCGGUGAAAUGCGUAGAUAUUAGUAAGAACACCGGUGGCGAAAGCGCUCUACUAGGUUGCAACUGACACUGAUGGACGAAAGCUAGGGGAGCGAAUGGGAUUAGAUACCCCAGUAGUCCUAGCCGUAAACGAUGGAUACUAGGCGUUGRGAGUAUCGACCCUCUCAGUGCCGUAGCUAACGCGUUAAGUAUCCCGCCUGGGGAGUACGCACGCAAGUGUGAAACUCAAAGGAAUUGACGGGGGCCCGCACAAGCGGUGGAGUAUGUGGUUUAAUUCGAUGCAACGCGAAGAACCUUACCAGGGCUUGACAUGUCUGGAAUCUUCCUGAAAGGGAAGAGUGCCUUCGGGAACCGGAACACAGGUGGUGCAUGGCUGUCGUCAGCUCGUGUCGUGAGAUGUUGGGUUAAGUCCCGCAACGAGCGCAACCCUCGUACUUAGUUGCCAGCACUUCGGGUGGGCACUCUAAGGAGACUGCCGGUGACAAACCGGAGGAAGGUGGGGAUGACGUCAAGUCAGCAUGCCCCUUACGUCCUGGGCUACACACGUACUACAAUGCUACGGACAAAGGGCAGCGAGACUGCGAAGUCAAGCAAAUCUCAGAAACCGUAGCUCAGUUCAGAUCGCAGGCUGCAACUCGCCUGCGUGAAGGAGGAAUCGCUAGUAAUUGCAGGUCAGCAUACUGCAGUGAAUUCGUUCCCGGGCCUUGUACACACCGCCCGUCACACCAUGGAAGCUGGUCACGCCCCAAGUCGUUACCCUAUCCGUUCGCGGAGGGGGACGCCCAAGGUAGG
This 1412-nucleotide ribosomal RNA is filed under the name Fischerella sp. CENA19. Its description in RNAcentral is "bacterial SSU rRNA". It matches the Rfam family "Bacterial small subunit ribosomal RNA". Lineage: Bacteria; Bacillati; Cyanobacteriota; Cyanophyceae; Nostocales; Hapalosiphonaceae. The record is from RNAcentral.